GGGUCAGUAGGUUGGUCGUGCCACCGGUACGUACUGGUCUCACUGACUCCUCCUUCCUGAAGAACCGUAAUGCCAUUAAUUUGGUGUUGCGGGGAAACAGGACUGUUACUUUGAAAAAAUUAGAGUGUUUAAAGCAAGCUAACGCUUGAAUACAUUAGCAUGGAAUAAUGAAAUAGGACGAUCGAUCCUAUUUUGCUGGUUUCUAGGAUUGACGUA
This 216-nucleotide ribosomal RNA is filed under the name Glomeromycotina sp. RNAcentral's name for it is "partial small subunit ribosomal RNA". The stretch from base 75 to 216 matches the Rfam family "Eukaryotic small subunit ribosomal RNA", at positions 721 to 864 of the family's 1831-position model. The record is from RNAcentral. Lineage: Eukaryota; Fungi; Glomeromycota.